This is a long non-coding RNA of Magnolia sinica, 1039 nucleotides long. RefSeq lists it as uncharacterized. The transcript has 3 exons. NCBI's taxonomy places the organism in Eukaryota, Viridiplantae, Streptophyta, Magnoliopsida, Magnoliales, Magnoliaceae. The record is from RefSeq and is a predicted model, not a curated record.
CUUGCUUUUUCUUUGGCCCAUCUGGGACUUAAUUCACCUUUCUUGGUACAUCUUUGUUACAUAUUUUGACUUAGAAGUUAUUGUAUCAAAUGACAAAACUUCUAUUACAAAUUUACAAUUAUAUGCCACAUGUGCAAUUUGUAAGUAAUUUCUAAGCUUUUAUACCAACUUCGACUGAAUUAACAGAAUUUUCAUUCGAGGCCAAUAGUCUCUACAGAUGGGGGGAUAUUUUGCAUUAAUGAUGAUGAUACAUAUCAUUCGCCAGGUGGAUCCCAAUGUUAAUGUUCAACAGAUCAGAAAUCUACUUUGUUGAACAAUCACAGCUAUCUGAUCGGUGGACUUCCUCGAGUUGCAUAUGUAUAUCUCUAGUUACUGCAUCAUUUCAUCUACAAUUUGAUGUUUACAAAUGUUUCUGCAUCAUAAAUACUGGGAAUGUAAUUACAAUUUGGUCAUUGCCGGUCUACAAUUUGAUCUUUCCUAUUAACUAAAUUAUGUAUUUCAAAGUUAUUUUCUCCAUUAACGCAAGGCAGAGAUGACAGAUUUCCUGAAAAAGAUUGCAUUGUGGAAUAUGCAUCCAUUAUUCAAAGAAAGGGUGACAUUCCAACUACUCACACUCUCUCCUUGCUAGCUAAAUUAGCUGACAAGCUAAAGAAGUCAGUGGAGGAUAAAAUUCAUUUUCUUAAGGCAAGGGUUUCAGAACUUGAAAGUGAUCUUGUGUCGAAGUCCACAGAAGUUACAUGUUCAGUUUCAAAGAAAGAAGAAGCUCCAUCUUCUACAUUUGCUGAAAUUGACCGUCUGAAGGAAGAAAAUUCUAUAAAAACGUGAGCAUUAUUGAAUGUAUAUGGAGGGUGUUUAUUGUGUUGGAGUGUAUUUAUUUCUUGCACAUGAGGGCACGCCUUAGUUGUAAUUCUUACGAUAGGUUAAGCACAGUGAAGUAUUGUUUAUUUAGAAAUGUGAAUGUAGGAUGCAUUGUAUGAUUUGAUUGCUAUUUGUAAUAUAUGCAUCAUUUUUUUUCUGAUUGUAUUUUAUGUACUAUUUC